UACGAAGGGGGCUAGCGUUGCUCGGAAUCACUGGGCGUAAAGCGCACGUAGGCGGAUUGCUAAGUCAGGGGUGAAAUCCUGGAGCUCAACUCCAGAACUGCCUUUGAUACUGGCGGUCUCGAGUCCGGGAGAGGUGAGUGGAACUGCGAGUGUAGAGGUGAAAUUCGUAGAUAUUCGCAAGAACACCAGUGGCGAAGGCGGCUCACUGGCCCGAUACUGACGCUGAGGUGCGAAAGCGUGGGGAGCAAACAGG
RNAcentral lists this ribosomal RNA (253 nucleotides) under uncultured bacterium. RNAcentral's name for it is "partial 16S ribosomal RNA". It matches the Rfam family "Bacterial small subunit ribosomal RNA", at positions 524 to 776 of the family's 1533-position model. The record is from RNAcentral.